AUGGUGGUAAUUAAUUACGUUAACUUAAAACUAAAGCUACGAAGGUUCCAAACGCGCCCAAGUCUGCGAAAAGCCCACAACAAACUCAGCCGGGUAUUUGUUUUAUCAUCACCACUUUACAAUAUUAUUUAAGAUUAUUA
Maniola jurtina (meadow brown) is the source of this 140-nucleotide long non-coding RNA. RefSeq lists it as uncharacterized. NCBI's taxonomy places the organism in Eukaryota, Metazoa, Arthropoda, Insecta, Lepidoptera, Nymphalidae. The transcript has 3 exons. The record is from RefSeq and is a predicted model, not a curated record.